CCUACGGGUGGCUGCAGUGGGGAAUAUUGGACAAUGGGCGAAAGCCUGAUCCAGCCAUGCCGCGUGUGUGAAGAAGGCCUUCGGGUUGUAAAGCACUUUCAGUGGGGAAGAAAGCCUUGGGGCUAAUACCCUCGAGGAAGGACAUCACCCACAGAAGAAGCACCGGCUAACUCCGUGCCAGCAGCCGCGGUAAUACGGAGGGUGCGAGCGUUAAUCGGAAUUACUGGGCGUAAAGCGCGCGUAGGCGGUCUGAUAAGCCGGUUGUGAAAGCCCCGGGCUCAACCUGGGAACGGCAUCCGGAACUGUCAGGCUAGAGUGCAGGAGAGGAAGGUAGAAUUCCCGGUGUAGCGGUGAAAGGCGUAGAGAUCGGGAGGAAUACCAGUGGCGAAGGCGGCCUUCUGGACUGACACUGACGCUGAGGUGCGAAAGCGUGGGUAGCAAACAGGAUUAGAUACCCGGGUAGUC
Molecule: ribosomal RNA, 465 nt
Filed under: Vreelandella stevensii
Lineage: Bacteria; Pseudomonadati; Pseudomonadota; Gammaproteobacteria; Oceanospirillales; Halomonadaceae
Description: partial 16S ribosomal RNA
Rfam family: Bacterial small subunit ribosomal RNA
Source: RNAcentral